CUUGCAGGCUACCCUGUGGGGGCAGAGUUUGCCGAAUCCUAACGGCGGCGAUAUCUUUCGCAGCAGAGUGACAACGUCAAGGUGCUUUAUGCGGCCCUUAGCGUCCGGAUCGUACUCGGACCAGAGUCUGAUGAAUUCGUCGAGAUGGUGAGGACCGAGGAUCGACCAAUCCCUCGUCAAGUAGUCGAAGUUGUCCAUGAUUACGGCGACGAACAAGACUAUGAUCAGCCAAUAGAACACCUGAGAUUUCACCGCCUUCCUGCAAGCCCUCCGCAUCCGCCGGUUCAC
This 288-nucleotide unclassified non-coding RNA is filed under the name Athalia rosae (coleseed sawfly). RNAcentral describes it as "misc RNA ENSAEAG00005007657.1". The record is from RNAcentral. Lineage: Eukaryota; Metazoa; Arthropoda; Insecta; Hymenoptera; Athaliidae.